Molecule: long non-coding RNA, 1986 nt
Filed under: Setaria viridis
Lineage: Eukaryota; Viridiplantae; Streptophyta; Magnoliopsida; Poales; Poaceae
Description: long non-coding RNA (SVIR_LNC003746)
Source: RNAcentral
UCCAACAGAAAGCCGCAGCUGUUGUUGUCCAAGGUGGUUGUCACAGUGCUCCUCAAGGCCAUGGCUGCCUUUUGCAACUUCGAUAUAAUUCAAUCUGCAACAGGCUUCCGCAUUGCUUCUAAUUUUGAUGGUGUGCUCUACGCCUCAUUUCUGGGAUCUAGACAUGCUGCUCAAUUGGAUUUUCGAGUGUUCUUGUAUGGCGAGCAGACCAUUUCAUAGUGGAUGAAGUUUAUGGCUAUGAAUGACCCCUAUUUAUUACAAUGGAAGUAUCAUUUACCUCAACUAGGUAAUGUACUAGGUCUGAGUAAGAAUGGUGUGUGUUUAGUUAUAUGAGUGAGUGUGGUCAGUAAUAAUUGUGUGUUUUAAGUAUAUUGUUGUCUGAAUAUUAAAUUCUUUAGUGUUUCUAGUAUAUUGUUGUCUGAAUAUUCAGUUAUUUAGUGAGUUAUCUAGGCGUAUUAAGUGUUUUCAGAUCAUCAAUGUGUGUGUGUUCCUAUCCUUUUUGGAAGAACUUUGUCAUUUUAAAUAUGUAAAUAAUUAAAUAUCCUUUUUUUCUUUUAUCUUCAGUGUGGAUGUAUUCAAGCUGCUAGCACACAAGGUAUAUAUCACAUGCACUAUUUGUGGGAGGUUUUUGGCAGAUCCUACCACUAAUGAGUUGUACACAGCCACCCAUUUCAUAACUGCCAUGUUACGCAUUGGAGACUGGUUGUGACAGGUUUUUUUUUUUUGAGAAUGUGCUGGUGGCUCUAUAUUAUUUGUGAAUUUCUACAUUAGAAGCAAUCUAUGUACUGCAAGAUAAAUACACAUCACUUUUUGUUGUAUGAUCAAGAUUGAUCCAUUUAUUUCUUACUACCUACAUGGCUUCAUUACAAAGAGUCACAUGGGGGGAAGAAGAUGUGAGCUCAGUUUGUUGCUGGAUGGAUCUCGCACAAAUUUGUUUAUAUCUUUAGUGUUGUUUUAUGUAAGUUUUUUGUCUUCUUUUUAUUACUAUUUUUCCUUUUAAAGGAGACUAUUGAUUCUUACCUUUGAGAUUCCUUAUUCAGUAUCUCUUCCAUUCUUUGAGGUCUUGUCUUGCAGCCCCUAUAAACUUUGUUUAAAAUACUAGGUUACUACCUUAUCGGAAUUGAGAGUAAACUGUAGUCUUGACAUAUUGUGUUUUUCUGUGUCAACUUUGUUAAAUGGCAUUCACUUGCAACAAGGAGGAAACAUAUAUUUACUUCUUGAGUGGUUAAUUAAUUUUGAAAUGCAUCCUGCUUGCCUGCACCCACAUUGUGGCAUGUUCCUUUUUUUUUCUUCCUGCAGCAACUCAUGCCUCAUAGAACAAGGAACAAAGCAAUUUUUCCACAGGGCCUUUGUGCAAAUGAAUUUUAGAAAGCAUGUUGGACUAUUCGUAUCGAAACCUAGUGAUCAUUUCAUUACUUGGUUGUUCAAUCCCGUUUUCAUUUAUUUUGCUCCUCUUGUUUCCCGAUGGAAAUGUCAGCAUUGCGGUUUCACCCUGGAGGAGGACCUCAAAGCCACAAAGAUUGAGUAAUUGUCUUUUUUUUUACUUCUGUAGAUAUGUCUUCAUAUUUGUAUACCACCAUAAUGCUCUGAAAAAUAUAAAUUGUAACAACUGCUCAUGGUGGGGGAUUGUCAAGAAGGAUGACCCACUUUUCACGCUACUGAUAGUGGCUGAAAUUGAUGAGCACCCGAGAGCCAUCAACCCUAGCAAGCAGGUCUGAAGGCCCAACAGAACAAUGUGCUCUGCCACAUCUGAAUCUUUAACAGCUUCUGAAAUAUCAACUGGUAGCUGAUUACAUACCAGUGUUGUGGUUCAGUUUUCAGUUAACGUUGAUUCAGUUUUAGUCAUAUUCAUUUUGAGUGCAAGACAAUUUUGAAUCAGUCUUUUAGUUAUUUUUUUUACGUGCUUCAUUAUAUUGCUGUUUUUUAUCUGUUGUAGCUGCAAAACCAUUGCCUUUCUUGUUAAAUAAUUCAGAUCUUCAUUAUUCA